GAUGAACGCUGGCGGCGUGCCUAAUACAUGCAAGUCGAGCGAACGGACGAGAAGCUUGCUUCUCUGAUGUUAGCGGCGGACGGGUGAGUAACACGUGGAUAACCUACCUAUAAGACUGGGAUAACUUCGGGAAACCGGAGCUAAUACCGGAUAAUAUUUUGAACCGCAUGGUUCAAAAGUGAAAGACGGUCUUGCUGUCACUUAUAGAUGGAUCCGCGCUGCAUUAGCUAGUUGGUAAGGUAACGGCUUACCAAGGCAACGAUGCAUAGCCGACCUGAGAGGGUGAUCGGCCACACUGGAACUGAGGCACGGUCCAGACUCCUACGGGAGGCAGCAGUAGGGAAUCUUCCGCAAUGGGCGAAAGCCUGACGGAGCAACGCCGCGUGAGUGAUGAAGGUCUUCGGAUCGUAAAACUCUGUUAUUAGGGAAGAACAUAUGUGUAAGUAACUGUGCACAUCUUGACGGUACCUAAUCAGAAAGCCACGGCUAACUACGUGCCAGCAGCCGCGGUAAUACGUAGGUGGCAAGCGUUAUCCGGAAUUAUUGGGCGUAAAGCGCGCGUAGGCGGUUUUUUAAGUCUGAUGUGAAAGCCCACGGCUCAACCGUGGAGGGUCAUUGGAAACUGGAAAACUUGAGUGCAGAAGAGGAAAGUGGAAUUCCAUGUGUAGCGGUGAAAUGCGCAGAGAUAUGGAGGAACACCAGUGGCGAAGGCGACUUUCUGGUCUGUAACUGACGCUGAUGUGCGAAAGCGUGGGGAUCAAACAGGAUUAGAUACCCUGGUAGUCCACGCCGUAAACGAUGAGUGCUAAGUGUUAGGGGGUUUCCGCCCCUUAGUGCUGCAGCUAACGCAUUAAGCACUCCGCCUGGGGAGUACGACCGCAAGGUUGAAACUCAAAGGAAUUGACGGGGACCCGCACAAGCGGUGGAGCAUGUGGUUUAAUUCGAAGCAACGCGAAGAACCUUACCAAAUCUUGACAUCCUUUGACAACUCUAGAGAUAGAGCCUUCCCCUUCGGGGGACAAAGUGACAGGUGGUGCAUGGUUGUCGUCAGCUCGUGUCGUGAGAUGUUGGGUUAAGUCCCGCAACGAGCGCAACCCUUAAGCUUAGUUGCCAUCAUUAAGUUGGGCACUCUAAGUUGACUGCCGGUGACAAACCGGAGGAAGGUGGGGAUGACGUCAAAUCAUCAUGCCCCUUAUGAUUUGGGCUACACACGUGCUACAAUGGACAAUACAAAGGGCAGCGAAACCGCGAGGUCAAGCAAAUCCCAUAAAGUUGUUCUCAGUUCGGAUUGUAGUCUGCAACUCGACUACAUGAAGCUGGAAUCGCUAGUAAUCGUAGAUCAGCAUGCUACGGUGAAUACGUUCCCGGGUCU
This 1372-nucleotide ribosomal RNA is filed under the name uncultured bacterium. RNAcentral describes it as "bacterial SSU rRNA". It matches the Rfam family "Bacterial small subunit ribosomal RNA", at positions 28 to 1381 of the family's 1533-position model. The record is from RNAcentral.